AACUAACGCUGGCGGCGUGCCUAACACAUGCAAAGUCGUACGAGAAAGCCGGCUUCGGCUGGUGAGUAAAGUGGCGCACGGGUGAGUAACGCGUGGAUAAUCUGCCCUUAAGUGUGGAAUAACGUACCGAAAGGUGCGCUAAUACCGCAUAAUGCCUGGCAACACAAGUUGUCCGGCCAAAGAAGGCCUCUGUUUACAAGCUUUCGCUUCAGGAUGAGUCCGCGUACCAUUAGCUUGUUGGUGGGGUAAUGGCCUACCAAGGCGACGAUGGGUAGCCGGCCUGAGAGGGUGACCGGCCACACUGGAACUGAGACACGGUCCAGACUCCUACGGGAGGCAGCAGUGGGGAAUCUUCCGCAAUGGGCGAAAGCCUGACGGAGCAACGCCGCGUGAGUGAAGAAGGCCUUCGGGUUGUAAAACUCUGUCAUCAGGGAAGAAGAAAGUGACGGUACCUGAGGAGGAAGCCCCGGCUAACUACGUG
RNAcentral lists this ribosomal RNA (481 nucleotides) under uncultured bacterium. Its description in RNAcentral is "bacterial SSU rRNA". It matches the Rfam family "Bacterial small subunit ribosomal RNA", at positions 29 to 507 of the family's 1533-position model. The record is from RNAcentral.